UGAGGCUUGUGUAGGAGAUUGCUGGGUUAAUGUUUGAAAAGGUUCCUUCAGUGAAAGGACAAAGGGCUAAUUUUAUACCUCCCUCUGUGUGUGGCUGCAGAUAGAAUUAGUGGCCAUAAAAUUAUCCAGCCCUGAACAAAAAAUGAACUGAAGCAUGUUACUGGUUGCUGUGCUGUGGCUGAAAUGCCAGGCUGGACGGUUGGCUGCUCCCAUGAGGAGCACCCCGGUGGCAGUGGGUUUACCUCCCCUUCACGAAAAGCCUCUGCAAUCUCGGCGAGAGGAGAAGCUGCAGGGAGGAGGGGUGCCAGUCUUCCUCGGCCCCGUGCCCUUCACUGAAGACCUCACCUUCUUCCAGGUUCUGGACAAACAGGUCCAGUUCUUUGCAACUUGGAUCUAAAUCCUUCUACUCAGCCACCCUGCUUUAGAAUCAAUUAACCAAUAGCGGAAGGCGGCUCUCGGUCAUGUGACCUGGAGAUCAAAGGGGAGAUCCUCUUGACCUCUUUCUUCCAAACACAGAGGGAGCCCCCCAACCCCCCAACUCACUUCCAGGCCUCUCAGCAGCUCUGCAGGGCCCAGAGGCCACUCCGUGUGCUUCUGCCGACUCGGUUGUGACCGGACAGGCAGCAUCUCUCCAGGUGCUCAACAAACUCCAGGGUGACGGCAUCGCUAAGUUUUGGUUUGGGUUGAGAAGAAUGUUUGAAAAUCUAAACAUCCAAGCGUUCAACCGCAUGAAUCAUCGGGGAACGAAACUCUCCAGCAUAAUCCAUCUACUGGAAGAUUGGUUUUCCCUCCAUGCUGUGACUUGAACUCUGUGAUCUCCAGGUUUGAAGCUGGAGGAGGUGUUGGGAUGACAAAGGAUAGAGGCAGACACAACUUUCUAUCUGGUGGCCAUAGCUCCAGCUCUGCAGAAUUCUCCAAGGGCUUGGAAUAUUUGAAAGCUGCCCUAUUUUCUCGAGUUUAACACAGUUUAUUUUCCCAUAUGUUAACAUUUAUGAAAUUGGGAUCUGUAACGCAAACCCUGUCAAAAAGAUUUGCCUGCUGCUGGGCGGAGAAGUGAGGUGCCAAGACAGUUGGCACUGCCUAUGGCCACACAAGCUUUGCCAGCGUAGAAGUAUCUCUUCAUCCACUUCACCACUCCUGGUUCACUGUUUGCAUUGUGGCACCACACGCUAUUAACAUAUCAGUGGAUAUGUGUCCUAGUGGUCACCGAAAAUGUCUUAAAAAGCUUUCACUGCUUUACUGUAUUGAAGCAGAAGUCACCUCGUGUGCACACACUGAGCAUUACACCUUGCCCCACGACAGAGGGUACAUUACAAAAAUUUUCAAAACUGGGAGAAAUUGGUGUGACCCCUUCAUGCAUCAUAAAAAAACUAUUAUUUAGGCCUCAAAAUCUUUUAAAGGUUUCUAGUGACUUUCAACAGAAGCUGCUUAAUGCUCUUUAAAAAAGGAAAAACGAAAUUAUAAGUUUAACCAAAGAGGAAAUGCCAACACACCCCUAGGGUUCUCUGUGAUGCCUUCAAAUUACAUUGUCAAUCUUAACUGUGCGGCAAAGGCCAAAGUAUUUAGUAUGACUGAAAGACAGUGUCUCCUCGUCAGGCUGUGAAUAACUGUAGGUGUCCAAAAUGACUUGGGAAAAUAUUUAGUUUCUGAUUCUGAAAUACGCUACAGAGACUUCCCUGGUGAUCCAGUGGCCAAGACUCUGAGCUCCCAAUGCAAGGGGCCUGGGUUCAAUCCCUAGUCAGGAAAUUAGAUCUCACGUGCUGCAACUAAGACCCAGCAGAGUCAAAUAAAUGAAUUUUUUUUUUUAAAAAAAAGAAAUAAGCUGCAGCUAAAGUCUGGUAAUAAAAGCAGCAUAUAAUUGUGAAGAGUAGGAGGUGUGUGUCUAGAAUCUUUUUUAUUUUAUUUUUUUUGCAAGUGGAUGCUCAGUUGUCCCAGAACUGUUUGUUGAGAAGACUAUCUUUUCUCCACUGUGUUUCCUUUGCUCUUUUGUCAAAGAUCAGUUAGUUAUAUUUAUUGGGGUCUGUUUCUGGGUUCUGUAUUCUGUUUCACUAAUCCAUUUGUCUGUUCUUUUGCCAACACCAUGCUGUUUUGAUUGUCAUAACUUUCCAGCUUGAACGCAGGUAGUGUCCAUUCUUUUUCUUCUUCUUCAAUAUUAUGUUGACUAUUCUGGAUCAUUUGCCAGGAAGUCAAACAAAUAGUCCAAAUGCUAAUCACUGGGGUUCUUAAAUGUCUUAACAAUACCUCUAGACGAUUACGUAACCGCCAAGAUAAUAUUACAAAAUCUACCGUCUUUUGUUUUUCAUUUCAACUCCUCUCCACUUAAGGAAGGAUCCCGUGUAUGCACAGCUCACUUUCGCUUCAGUAACUUUGGGGAGUGGGGGCUGUCUCCUUCCUUUAUCAGCCUGUUGCAGGGACUCCUUGGACUGGGAAGUUCACCAAGUUCCUCACAUUUCAGCCACAGAAAACAAAACUCACCGGAAGCAUACACUUCCCUUCUCUUCCUAGCAAUAAUUUCUUUAUCCAAUCACCAGGAAGUCCUGUCCCCUAUCAGCGGUGGAGGGCGCUGCGGUGUCGCUGUGCAUGUGUGUUACCCACAAUGUGGCAUAAUAAAGGCAUAAAUAAGAUGCAACAGAAAAGGGUUUCUCCCAUGACUGCCCUUCCAAUCCCUAAGCUGCCCAAUAAGCUUCCUUUGCUGCCUUCUUCCUGCAGGGACCACUUGUGCAUGUUCUGGAUGCUGGUGCUUCCUCUCCCAGGAGGGCAGUUCACCCUGAGGGAUACCGGGGAGGUGGGGAGUUGUGCCCAUCUGCAUUGGUGCAACACCCCCUCCGCAAAUUCCGCACAUUUUUCUCUUUUAGAAAAGUGACUUAUCUCCCCCAAAUGCUUUUUCUUUAUAUUAUAAUGAUGACUCCGAUUCAGGAAUACUCCAAGACAGUAAAUGCAGUGAAAAAUGUGUCUAUGCUCAUACCUGGUGCGCCAGUUACUGUUGCUGCACGAGAAUUUAUCCCUGACAUUUAGCAGCUUCAAACACCCAUCUACUGCACAUUCAGGGAUCCUAUGGGUUUGGAAUUUAGACAGCAGGAAUGGCUUGGCUCUGUUCCAUAAUAUUGUUACCGGUGAAUUUGAGGUUCUUGCUUCAUCGUGAAAGAAAUAGCG
Bos taurus (domestic cattle) is the source of this 3153-nucleotide long non-coding RNA. NCBI's taxonomy places the organism in Eukaryota, Metazoa, Chordata, Mammalia, Artiodactyla, Bovidae. The record is from Ensembl.